UACCGUCCUCCCCCUUAAUGCACCUCACCUGAUCGAGGUCACGACCCUUUCUCUCCCUAGCCUUAGCGAGUCUAAACAACUUUUUCUCCCCUCCCUUCCCCUGUAACCCUGCAUACAGGCUCUCAAAGGCGGCCGUCUUAGCUGCCGUGACUGCGGACUUAGCCUCCUUCCUCGCUAGCUUGUACUCUGUCCUGUUUACCCGUUUCUCCUCUUCGUCCUUCCUUUCCACCAACUUGGCAUACGCCCCUUUCUUGGUCCCCACUUUCUUCUCCACCUCUUCAUUCCACCACCAAUCCCCCUGAUGGUGCCCGGCCCGGCCCCUAGAAACCCCCAACACCUCACUUGCAUUCUCGCUGAUGCACCUAGCCGCCCUAUCCCACAUACUAUCCACGUCUCCCCUACACUCCCACACCCCCAUUCCUGCCAACUUCUCCCCUAUCUUCCACGCAUUCACUGGCGUCAAGCCGCCCCACUUAAUUCUAGGUCUACACUCCCUGCUCCUCCUCUUUCUAUUCUUCUUUAUACCCAAAUCCAUAACCAAGAGCCUC
Molecule: long non-coding RNA, 548 nt
Filed under: Capsicum annuum
Lineage: Eukaryota; Viridiplantae; Streptophyta; Magnoliopsida; Solanales; Solanaceae
Description: long non-coding RNA (CANN_LNC001705)
Source: RNAcentral